Molecule: ribosomal RNA, 253 nt
Filed under: uncultured bacterium
Lineage: Bacteria
Description: partial 16S ribosomal RNA
Rfam family: Bacterial small subunit ribosomal RNA
Source: RNAcentral
UACGGAGGAUGCGAGCGUUAUCCGGAAUGAUUGGGCGUAAAGCGUCCGCAGGUGGCUAUGUAAGUCUGCUGUUAAAGAGUCUGGCUCAACCAGAUAAAGGCAGUGGAAACUACAUGGCUAGAGUGCGUUCGGGGCAGAGGGAAUUCCUGGUGUAGCGGUGAAAUGCGUAGAGAUCAGGAAGAACACCGGUGGCGAAAGCGCUCUGCUAGGCCGCAACUGACACUGAGGGACGAAAGCUAGGGGAGCGAAUGGG